CAGCCGCCACGGUAAUACGAAGGGGGCUAGCGUUGCUCGGAAUGACUGGGCGUAAAGGGCGCGUAGGCGGUUUGAUUAGUUAGGCGUGAAAUUCCCGGGCUCAACCUGGGAACUGCGUUUAAUACAGUCAGACUUGAGUUCGGAAGAGGGUCGUGGAAUUCCCAGUGUAGAGGUGAAAUUCGUAGAUAUUGGGAAGAACACCGGUGGCGAAGGCGGCGACCUGGUCCGAUACUGACGCUGAGGCGCGAAAGCGUGGGGAGCAAACAGGAUUAGAUACCCGAGUAGUCCCUGUCUCUUAUAC
Molecule: ribosomal RNA, 301 nt
Filed under: uncultured bacterium
Lineage: Bacteria
Description: partial 16S ribosomal RNA
Rfam family: Bacterial small subunit ribosomal RNA
Source: RNAcentral